CUAAUGAGAGGGCAUACGUGACCAAGGAGAAGCAGAAGACAUUGGCUCUUCGGUAGGUACUAGGUAGCUUCUAUUUAUGCUAUAGCUCGAGCUCGGCGACCCCUUGUCUGCUUGGCACCUCAGGGUAGAGGGAGGUCAUACACGAUUUCGUAGGAAGGUUAUAAACUAGAGAUGAACUAUCAAGUGUGUGCUAGAUCGAGUAGAUGCGGGUAAGGAAGUACCUCUGGAGUAUCCAAGGAAGUACCUGUAGAGCGUUUCGCUAGUGCAUGUGUUGUUCGUCCUCGAGGAGGUUCUGUACGCUGCUGCACGGCGGCGUCAUCGAGGUGUUGACGUUGGAGCGAUAGAAGUACCCGCAAGCUAACAGUUGAGCGGGGGUGGAUGCUGUACGGCCGCGGUUCGAGGUGCGUAGGUAUUCUACUUCUUUGUCCGUAGGUCCGGGCUUUGUAGCGUCUACUUUUACGGAGUAGAAGGGAGGUUAGUAGAACUUCUGAGGUCCAUUCUACACCGUGCGCUCGGGCGUGAUGGGGACCAGACCGUCCAAUUGGGAGAUCGAAGAGACUGUCGGAUCGAAUACUAAGGCCUUCACCCUGUAGUGUAGCCCGUUGGCCCGCUGACCCACGAAGAGUACACCUCAACAACUGAUCCUACCGGCGGCGAUACGGUGUGCUUGUGUCAAAGUACUUGCGUACGUGUGUAGGACACUCGUUGCCACACUUGGCCGCCGUCACAGCGAAAUCAGCUGCCGUCUCCUACCCGUAGUACCUGCGGCCAUCAAGAGGUUGAUAGGGCAUUAGGCAGCCUAGUUGACUUAGCAGUAAACCAGCGAGAGGGUCAUGCGCCCGUGAGGGUCAACGACCCGGUGACUCGUGUGACGGUGGUCCAGCGGGAACGGCUGAAGCAGGUACUGAUAUAGAGCCACUGAAGAAGGGCAACGACGGGUAUCCGGUAUCAAGCACGGGAUGGCCAGACUAGCGACAGUUGUGAAACCAAUCCGUAGGAGAGGGUUUAGUCGCAUAUAGAACGAUCCAACGAGUAAUAUCUACACUUGAGGAGGAAAAGACUUUUUGUUACAAUCUAGUCUUGAGUGAGCAUGAAAAAUAAGUCAUAAAAAAACGCCCCUAUAACAACCGCGGCGGUAGGGGCGCCGCGGCGGAGGAAUAAGAUGGAGUGUGUUGAGAGGACUCCAAAGAGAGAAGAAGAGUGUUCUUGUGUUCUUGUGUGUGGGUGUGUGUGUGUGCGUGGUUCCUUCUUGUGUGUUCGAAACGGUUCUACGAGGGAACCACUAGUGUGCCACCGAUGUAACAAAGAGGUCGUCGGGAGAACCGGAAUUGGAAAAAGUAAUUGAGUUACGUCCAUAUAUAUGUGUUCCCCGAUCUGUGCGGGUGAUUGGGUGAUUGUGUGCAAUUGUGUGCAGGUAGUGAAUUGAAAGAUCUUAGUGAGAUCCCUACUGAACCGAUGACUGAACUGGCUAGCCGGAGAUGAUUGUUUGAUAGAGUUGAUCGUACGUGCCGAGUCAGGUACGUUAGUUGAUAGGAUGGAAAAUCGAUCGAGUGAUUGGUUGUUUGAAGUACAUCGAUUAGAGGAUGUACGUGCUCCGAUUGAUCGACGUCGUGGGCAUUGAUGAACUGAGUGGCUGAGUGAGCCGAUUGUAAAAACGACCAACAACGGAAGUCUAGAACACGUCGGCGAAGUGUGCCGUGAGCCGUAGAGAGGAACGUGGUGUAGCGUGUCGAAACGUCGUAGAGCAGUGGUAGUCGUAGAGCGACAUGAGCGGCAUAGCAUGCCGCGAUACCGUAGAGCGGAAGAGGCGUGUAGAGGCAACUUCGAAGCAGCUGAUCGAUGAGGGAUUAGAUACGAUGUACGUAAUGCUUUUGAUUUAUACGUCUAUGUAGUUAGUUUUAAUUGAGAUUGUUAAGUCAUACAAAGACUACACUAUUGACUUGAGUGAUCCCGUCUUCAUCAAAAUAGUCACACGAAGAAUACACUCUACUUGAGUGUUAAAGUUUCUCGACCCUUGACUUCUUAAGUCACUCGUAUUUUUAUAUAAGUUCAUCUCGCUUCCUAAGAAGAGAAGAUACUAAAAGAAGCUACUGAACGAUUAAUUCUAUGGGGAGUAACGAAGUUAGCUAAUACGGAACUAACUCCUUCGUUUUACCAGAGUGUAUCAACAAGAAUUAAUGAUCCCAUUAAUAAAGAUACAAAGUCCUGAAAUAUUACGAGACUUUGAACGGAAGCAACUCUGUGAGUACUUAACGUAAAUCCAACUGUCUCCAAACUUACCAACAAAAUAAGUCUCGUAAGAGAAGAAAAAAGUCACGUUAUUCGUUAUACUACUUCGAUGUAUCCCAUGUUUGAAUCAGAGACCUGAACUGCAGUAGUGUCUGGUUCUAUUAUUCGUACAGAGAAUUACAUACUAUUCAAGAACUAGAUUUUCAUCUCUCCCCGGUGCUUCACAUGAACGGUAAAAGUUUAUAAGGGGCUCUACAUAUUUCUCUUCGGAUAGUAUCUUUUAUACAAGAAUCAUUUAACUGUAAAAGAAAGUACUGAUCGGUACAUUUUAUUUGGUGACCUUUUUCGGUAGAAUGCAUGUCACCGUGAUAAACGUGAACGUAGGUAGAAUGUAAAGUCUGUGAAUUAAAACUAGAGAGUACAGUCCACGUCUUAAUACCUUCGUCUGGGCGCCUUAGCGAGGAUGUUACACAAGAAGAAACAACACACCGACGUAUGGAAAUUUAGUAUGGGGUUUAUUGUACAACGUUAAAAAGUAGAAUUUUAGUAUAUAUAUGAAGCGUUUUUCUAAAUAAGUCAAAUACAUAAUAUAGUACACGUAUAUACACUGAUUUUCAAGGGCGUUGUUGCACGCCCCAUAGUAGAUCAAUAUAGUCAAUAACAUGAUAAAAACCUAACUACUACUCUCUAGAUCUAAGCACUCUAAUCAACGUUGCUUUAAACCAAGUCAUUAAGUCACAAAUCUGUAUGUUCUAUGAUAUUAUCUCGAGUCCUAAUUUUACAAACAAGAGAAACAAAGUAAAAUCUUACGGGCGGCGUCAUAACGUCGUCGUGAUAGAGUUUCUGCACAGCGGCCCACAACAAUCCCUAAAGAAGACCGUACUACUGAAAGCCUAGUUCUUGUGAACCCAGUUAUACGAAGACAUCGUACUCUGUAACUUGCCCACGUGUUUCUGACCUUGUUACCAACAAACGACCCAGUCCUUCAAAGGUAAGAAGACGUUGCUGUACCUCAUACAAUAGCCAGCGUCCCAUACCCGUAGAGCUUUCUGCAUGAUGAUGCGAUUAUUCCUGAAGUCUCGGACGAUUCGUACUGCCCUCCUGACGUUAACUAUCUUUGUUCUCUCUUGUCCCAACCAAUCGAACUUGGUCUCGAACGAACUUCGUAUACGUGUAGACCUGUACUAAACCUAACUCAUUCGUGCAUUUCAACACUACGAUUGUGUAUGGUUCACCUCUCGUUAUAGUGUCCCAAUGGCACGAUCCUUAUACGAUACGUAUGUAGUAAGUACAUUACUAGAAGAUAAAUACAAAGAAUUCGGUAAUUAGAAUCCGAUUUCACAUCAAAUAAUCUCGUCAUAAACUUACUUUGUUUAUGACUGUGCCUUACACCUUCCAAACUUCUAAAAGAAUAUAUUAAGAAACUCUUGUCUAUUCAUUUGGUACAAUAAAAGUUUUACCGUUCAAAAGUCUUAAACUC
RNAcentral lists this ribosomal RNA (3709 nucleotides) under Triticum aestivum (bread wheat). RNAcentral describes it as "partial small subunit ribosomal RNA". Lineage: Eukaryota; Viridiplantae; Streptophyta; Magnoliopsida; Poales; Poaceae. The record is from RNAcentral.